CCUCCCUGCCUUGCAUCGCAUGGCCACCUUACGGCGUGAUGAGCUGGGUCAGGAAACCCUUCUCAACCUGCUACUUCGCAAUUACCUUCAUUAUAACUUGUAUGACCAGGCCGAGAAACUGAGGUCAAAGGCCCCACGUUUCGAAGCACAUUCCAAUCAGCAGGCAAUACUUUUGCUUGUGACUCCAUGAAAUUACCUUUAGACUUCAUUCUCGUUGUGAAACAAAUAUAUAUGCUAACCUUGAGGUUUUUUCUCCUAUAGUUCUGCCGCUACCUGUUCUACUUAGGAAAGAUCAGGACCAUUCAGUUGGAAUGUACUGAUGCCAAAGAAAGCCUUCUGCAAGCUGCUCGAAAAGCUCCUGCUGGAGCAUGGGGUUUUCGAAUCCAAUGCAACAAGUGGGCUGUGAUAGUCCGCUUACUUCUAGGGGAAAUCCCUGAGAAAACUGUUUUUAUGCAGAAAGGCAUGAAGAAGGCUUUGACACCCUAUUUUGAGCUUACAAAUGCUGUGCGAAUUGGAGAUCUGGAGCUGUUUAGGACCGUCGCAGAGAAGUUUGCUGGCACUUUUUUGAAACUCUUGUGCUUUCAGGAAAGCGUUACCUGUUGCCAUAGUGCUUGGAGUUGCAGGGCUAGCUGGCUUGUAUUUCUACCUCAACAAUGCCUACUAGUGUGAGCAAGGAGCAUCAUGAGGCUCCUCUUUUCUUCAUUCUGAAACUGGUCGAGUCAAUAUUAGUAUUCAUAAUGUACUGUCAUCUGUAACAACAGAAUAAGUUAAUGUACUUAUGUUUCCAAUUUCAAGUUGUGAGGUUUCUGUUAAACAA
This is a non-coding RNA of Phoenix dactylifera (date palm), 817 nucleotides long. NCBI's taxonomy places the organism in Eukaryota, Viridiplantae, Streptophyta, Magnoliopsida, Arecales, Arecaceae. The record is from RefSeq and is a predicted model, not a curated record.